UACGUAGGGCGCAAGCGUUGUCCGGAAUUAUUGGGCGUAAAGAGCUCGUAGGCGGUUUGUCGCGUCUGCUGUGAAAACGCGAGGCUCAACCUCGCGCCUGCAGUGGGUACGGGCAGACUAGAGUGCGGUAGGGGAGAUUGGAAUUCCUGGUGUAGCGGUGAAAUGCGCAGAUAUCAGGAAGAACACCCGUGGCUAAGGCGGCUCUCUAGUACGGUACUGACGCUGAGACGCGAAAGCGUGGGGAGCGAACAGG
RNAcentral lists this ribosomal RNA (253 nucleotides) under uncultured bacterium. RNAcentral describes it as "partial 16S ribosomal RNA". It matches the Rfam family "Bacterial small subunit ribosomal RNA", at positions 524 to 776 of the family's 1533-position model. The record is from RNAcentral.